Molecule: long non-coding RNA, 1528 nt
Organism: Aphis gossypii (cotton aphid)
Lineage: Eukaryota; Metazoa; Arthropoda; Insecta; Hemiptera; Aphididae
Exons: 3
Source: RefSeq, a predicted model, not a curated record
CGUAUUGAUCACCGUCGCAACACCAUACACAACAGCACCAGAAGUAAGCCUCGUCGUACACACACACGUCCGGACACGCUCACACAUGCACACACACGCACAAACACAAACACGGCCGAACCGUGUGUAAAAACGUUUAUGUAUAGAUCGACCUGAGCGAGGGUGCGCGCGCAUGCGACCAGUAAACAGUAGAGUUGUGCAUUGAGCAGUGAUCAUUUCGGAAUAAGGAAUAUAAAUAUAAUAAUAAUAUAUAUUAUAUGUAAUAAUAUUAUACAACAGUAUAACGCUUAUUGCGUAUAUAUAUAUAUAUAUUUAACUCGGAGUAAUGUAAAAUGUAAAUAAAAUGUUAUUACUUAUAAUCAAACGGCAUUGCGUGUUUAUUUAUUUUAUUUUAUUCUUUUAUUUUCCGUUUAGAUAACGAUUUUUUAUUGUCCGCUAGACAAAUAGACAAUGAAACAUUGCAUUCGGUUAUGAUAAUAAUAUUGUGUGCAUUAUGUUUUUUAUGUCGUCCGCGUUGCGUCUUGCACUCGUCUCCAAUAAACGCAUCAUAAUUUUACAUAGUAUACGUAUUUUGUCGUUUGACUUUUCCACCGUUUUAUAUACUACCUGACGCAUAAACGCACGAAAUCAUUUUUUCCUCGACAGUGCGCGAUUUAUUAUUAAGGUUUCCAUGGCGACCUACGCGCCUUAUUCCGAGCGCUAAACGUAUUUCCGUGUUGGACUUUGGAGAAAACGCGAUAGUUUUCCCUAUGUGUGAUCAUUUAUCAUAAUUUAUAUAGCAAAAGUUGUUUUUCUUUCCGAAAAUAUUUCGCAGUGAUGAAUCUGUACUUUUAAGUUUUAUUCGAAACCCGCAACACAUAUUUGUUAUUAUUAGAUACAUUAAAAUAUCAACGUCAUCGUUGUAUAGAUUGACACAAUAAAUAAUAAUAUACAUCAUUCGUAUUUUGCUUCAUAUAGGCAUCGCGUUUAUAAGGAGUAACCGAGUAAGGACAAUAGCUAUUAUCGCAGACCAGUAGUUGAAUUAUAAGUCGCGUAUGGUGAACAAUAAUUCAUGAAGUCGAGAAAUUAAUUGCGAGGGUGGCCACGGGAAUCAGCGUCGGGGAGUGCAAUGCCCUCGCGCGUGGAGCUUUUCUGCCUUUGUGUAGGUGUAUCCCGGCCAACGUAUCGACUGCUGUUAAUUUGUCAACUCGAACGUUGCGCUGUUCGUAUACAUAUAACGAGUUGGUAGGUUCAAAUGUUCAUAGUUUAUUGGUAAUUAAAAAAAAUUACGAUCUACAGAUAAAAGAAGUCAAGUCAAAAAUUAUAACACUACGCAAAAAAUGUAACAACAUUUUUCUAAAAAGAAUUGCAACAUUACGUGCAAUUUUAUUCCGUAUAUAGAGGUGUUAAGUGCAAGAUUGAAAACGAUAAUCGUUACGGACCUUGAACAAAUUAAACAUAUAAUAAAUUAAUAUUACAAAAUAUGAUACGUACAAUAAAUUAAUAACUAACAAGAAAGUUUUGAUCAAUACAGUGUUACGUGAUAACU